GAUGAACGCUAGCGGCAGGCUUAACACAUGCAAGUCGAGGGGUAACAGGAGUGCUUGCACUCGCUGACGACCGGCGCACGGGUGCGUAACGCGUAUAGAACCUACCUUUUACAGAGGGAUAGCCUUUAGAAAUGAAGAUUAAUACCUCAUAGUAUUGUCAAUUGGCAUCGAUUGACACUUAAAGAUUUAUCGGUAAGAGAUGGCUAUGCGUCCUAUUAGCUAGAUGGUAAGGUAACGGCUUACCAUGGCAACGAUAGGUAGGGGCCCUGAGAGGGGGAUCCCCCACACUGGUACUGAGACACGGACCAGACUCCUACGGGAGGCAGCAGUGAGGAAUAUUGGGCAAUGGAGGGAACUCUGACCCAGCCAUGCCGCGUGCAGGAAGACUGCCCUAUGGGUUGUAAACUGCUUUUAUACAGGAAGAAACACACCUACGCGUAGGUGCUUGACGGUACUGUACGAAUAAGCACCGGCUAACUCCGUGCCAGCCGCCGCCGUAACAC
RNAcentral lists this ribosomal RNA (503 nucleotides) under uncultured bacterium. RNAcentral's name for it is "bacterial SSU rRNA". It matches the Rfam family "Bacterial small subunit ribosomal RNA", at positions 28 to 526 of the family's 1533-position model. The record is from RNAcentral.